UACGGGGGGAGCAAGCGUUGUUCGGAUUUACUGGGCGUAAAGGGCGCGUAGGCGGCCACCGCAAGUCGACUGUGAAAUCUCCGGGCUUAACCCGGAAAGGUCAGCCGAUACUGCGGGGCUAGAGUGCAGAAGGGGCAACUGGAAUUCUCGGUGUAGCGGUGAAAUGCGUAGAUAUCGAGAGGAACACCUGCGGCGAAGGCGGGUUGCUGGGCUGACACUGACGCUGAUGCGUGAAAGCUAGGGGAGCGAACGGG
RNAcentral lists this ribosomal RNA (254 nucleotides) under uncultured bacterium. Its description in RNAcentral is "partial 16S ribosomal RNA". It matches the Rfam family "Bacterial small subunit ribosomal RNA", at positions 524 to 776 of the family's 1533-position model. The record is from RNAcentral.